UACGGAGGGAGCUAGCGUUGUUCGGAUAUACUGGGCGUAAAGCGCACGUAGGCGGCGAUCUAAGUCAGAGGUGAAAGCCCGGGGCUCAACCCCGGAAUAGCCUUUGAGACUGGAUUGCUAGAAUCUUGGAGAGGCGGGUGGAAUUCCGAGUGUAGAGGUGAAAUUCGUAGAUAUUCGGAAGAACACCAGUGGCGAAGGCGGCCCGCUGGACAAGUAUUGACGCUGAGGUGCGAAAGCGUGGGGAGCAAACAGG
Molecule: ribosomal RNA, 253 nt
Filed under: uncultured bacterium
Lineage: Bacteria
Description: partial 16S ribosomal RNA
Rfam family: Bacterial small subunit ribosomal RNA
Source: RNAcentral